CCUANGGGCGGCAGCAGUUGGGAAUUUUGCACAAUGGACGAAAGUCUGAUGCAGCAACACUGCGUGAAGGAUGAAGGUUUUCGGAUCGUAAACUUCUUUUAUCUGGGAAUAAUCUUGAAGGUACCAGAUGAAUAAGCACCGGCUAACUACGUGCCAGCAGCCGCGGUAAUACGUAGGGUGCAAACGUUAUCCGGAUUUAUUGGGCGUAAAGAGCUCGUAGGUGGACUUAUAAGUUGGAUAUGAAAUGCUUAGGCUCAACCUAAGAACCGUAUCCAAAACUAUAAAUCUAGAGGUAUGCAGGGGUAGAUGGAACUUACGGUGUAGCAGUGAUAUGCGUAGAUAUCGUAAGGAACGCCAAUGGUGAAGACAGUCUACUGGGCAUUACCUGACACUGAGGAGCGAAAGCGUGGGGAGCGAACGGGAUUAGAUACCCUANUANUC
This 441-nucleotide ribosomal RNA is filed under the name uncultured bacterium. RNAcentral describes it as "bacterial SSU rRNA". It matches the Rfam family "Bacterial small subunit ribosomal RNA", at positions 338 to 795 of the family's 1533-position model. The record is from RNAcentral.